GAUGAACGCUAGCUACAGGCUUAACACAUGCAAGUCGAGGGACCGGCGCACGGGUGAGUCACACGUAUCCAACCUGCCCUUUACUCGGGGAUAGCCUUUCGAAAGAAAGAUUAAUACCCGAUAUAAAGGAUGGGGAUGCGUUCCAUUCGGUUGUUGGUGAGGUAACGGCCCACCAAGCCUUCGAUGGAUAGGGGUUCUGAGAGGAAGGGCCCCUACAUUGGAACUGAGACACGGUCCAAACUCUGACGGGAGGAAGCAGUGAGGAAUAUGGGUCAAUGGGCGGUAGCCGGAACCAGCCAAGUAGCGUGAAGGAUGAAGGAUUAUGGGUCGUAAACUUCUUUUAUAUAAGAAUAUGUAUUAUAUGAAUAAGGAUCGGCUAACUCCGUGCCAGCAGCCGCGGUAAUUC
Molecule: ribosomal RNA, 406 nt
Filed under: uncultured bacterium
Lineage: Bacteria
Description: partial 16S ribosomal RNA
Rfam family: Bacterial small subunit ribosomal RNA
Source: RNAcentral